This 497-nucleotide ribosomal RNA is filed under the name uncultured bacterium. RNAcentral describes it as "partial 16S ribosomal RNA". It matches the Rfam family "Bacterial small subunit ribosomal RNA", at positions 28 to 507 of the family's 1533-position model. The record is from RNAcentral.
GAUGAACGCUGGCGGCGUGCCUAAUACAUGCAAGUCGAGCGAACGGACGAGAAGCUUGCUUCUCUGAUGUUAGCGGCGGACGGGUGAGUAACACGUGGAUAACCUACCUAUAAGACUGGGAUAACUUCGGGAAACCGGAGCUAAUACCGGAUGAUAUUUUGAACCGCAUGGUUCAAAAGUGAAAGACGGUCUUGCUGUCACUUAUAGAUGUAUCCGCGCUGCAUUAGCUAGUUGGUAAGGUAACGGCUUACCAAGGCAACGAUGCAUAGCCGACCUGAGAGGGUGAUCGGCCACACUGGAACUGAGACACGGUCCAGACUCCUACGGGAGGCAGCAGUAGGGAAUCUUCCGCAAUGGGCGAAAGCCUGACGGAGCAACGCCGCGUGAGUGAUGAAGGUCUUCGGAUCGUAAAACUCUGUUAUUAGGGAAGAACAUAUGUGUAAGUAACUAUGCACAUCUUGACGGUACCUAAUCAGAAAGCCACGGCUAACUACGUG